AGAUCUUCGGCUUUUUGGCUAAGAUCAAGUGUAGUAUCUGUUUUUAUCAGUUUAAUAUUUGAUUCGUCCUCUACCUGGGAGUGGGGACCAUAUAAAACAAUACUCUAGACAGAUUUCUUAGUGUAGGUCCUUCAAUUUAUGACCUUAGUGGUUUUAAAGGACGCAUAUCUACGUUCCCAUUCACAGGGAUCAUCUCA
Molecule: small nuclear RNA, 197 nt
Organism: Bombina bombina (fire-bellied toad)
Lineage: Eukaryota; Metazoa; Chordata; Amphibia; Anura; Bombinatoridae
Product: U2 spliceosomal RNA
Exons: 1
Source: RefSeq, a predicted model, not a curated record